RNAcentral lists this ribosomal RNA (1426 nucleotides) under uncultured Cylindrospermopsis sp. RNAcentral's name for it is "bacterial SSU rRNA". It matches the Rfam family "Bacterial small subunit ribosomal RNA". The record is from RNAcentral. Lineage: Bacteria; Bacillati; Cyanobacteriota; Cyanophyceae; Nostocales; Aphanizomenonaceae.
CGAACGGGAUGCUUAGGCAUCUAGUGGCGGACGGGUGAGUAACGCGUGAGAAUCUGGCUCCAGGUCGGGGAUAACAGUUGGAAACGACUGCUAAUACCGGAUGUGCCGAGAGGUGAAAGAUUUAUUGCCUGGAGAUGAGCUCGCGUCUGAUUAGCUAGUUGGUGGUGUAAGGGACCACCAAGGCAUCGAUCAGUAGCUGGUCUGAGAGGAUGAUCAGCCACACUGGGACUGAGACACGGCCCAGACUCCUACGGGAGGCAGCAGUGGGGAAUUUUCCGCAAUGGGCGAAAGCCUGACGGAGCAAUACCGCGUGAGGGAGGAAGGCUCUUGGGUCGUAAACCUCUUUUCUCAAGGAAGAAGAAAGUGACGGUACUUGAGGAAUAAGCAUCGGCUAACUCCGUGCCAGCAGCCGCGGUAAUACGGAGGAUGCAAGCGUUAUCCGGAAUGAUUGGGCGUAAAGGGUCUGCAGGUGGAACUGAAAGUCUGCUGUUAAAGAGUUUGGCUUAACCAAAUAAAAGCGGUGGAAACUACAGAACUAGAGUGUGGUAGGGGCAAAAGGAAUUCCUGGUGUAGCGGUGAAAUGCGUAGAUAUCAGGAAGAACACCGGUGGCGAAAGCGUUUUGCUAGACCAUAACUGACACUGAGGGACGAAAGCUAGGGGAGCGAAUGGGAUUAGAUACCCCAGUAGUCCUAGCCGUAAACGAUGGAUACUAGGCGUGGCUUGUAUCGACCCGAGCCGUGCCGGAGCUAACGCGUUAAGUAUCCCGCCUGGGGAGUACGCACGCAAGUGUGAAACUCAAAGGAAUUGACGGGGGCCCGCACAAGCGGUGGAGUAUGUGGUUUAAUUCGAUGCAACGCGAAGAACCUUACCAAGACUUGACAUCCUGCGAAUCCUGGUGAAAGCUGGGAGUGCCUUCGGGAGCGCAGAGACAGGUGGUGCAUGGCUGUCGUCAGCUCGUGUCGUGAGAUGUUGGGUUAAGUCCCGCAACGAGCGCAACCCUCGUUUUUAGUUGCCAGCAUUAAGUUGGGCACUCUAGAGAGACUGCCGGUGACAAACCGGAGGAAGGUGAGGAUGACGUCAAGUCAGCAUGCCCCUUACGUCUUGGGCUACACACGUACUACAAUGCUACGGACAGAGGGCAGCAAGCCAGGGAUGGCAAGCGAAUCCAGAAACCGUAGCUCAGUUCAGAUCGAAGGCUGCAACUCGCCUUCGUGAAGGAGGAAUCGCUAGUAAUUGCAGGUCAGCAUACUGCAGUGAAUUCGUUCCCGGGCCUUGUACACACCGCCCGUCACACCAUGGAAGUUGGUCACGCCCGAAGUCAUUACCCCAACCGAAAGGAGGGGGAUGCCUAAGGUAGGACUGGUGACUGGGGUGAAGUCGUAACAAGGUAGCCGUACCGGAAGGUGUGGCUGGAUCACCUCCUUU